This 215-nucleotide long non-coding RNA is filed under the name Mytilus galloprovincialis (Mediterranean mussel). The record is from RNAcentral. Lineage: Eukaryota; Metazoa; Mollusca; Bivalvia; Mytilida; Mytilidae.
UACUUUUACGAGAUCGGCGCACAUUAAAUUUAUCAAAGGUAUUGUCAAAAUUAAUAAGUUUUGCUCCCUGCCAAGGUCUGCUUUUACGAGACCUAUUUUGGCAAAAAGCAUCUGUAAUCGACCUGCUGGGCGAUCUGCUUUUACGAGAUCGAAUACUCCCAUGUAUCAUUUUUUUGUCAAAUUUAUAAAAUUACGAGACCAAAGGUAUUGAAAGA